RNAcentral lists this long non-coding RNA (575 nucleotides) under Aedes aegypti (yellow fever mosquito). RNAcentral's name for it is "lncRNA AAEL020866". Lineage: Eukaryota; Metazoa; Arthropoda; Insecta; Diptera; Culicidae. The record is from RNAcentral.
CGUGCUCCAACAGCCCAACACGAUAUGCAUAGCGUACCAAUAAGCACCAUAAUCAUGUAUCAGUAACCCUCAUGUAUGCCCCUCUACUCCCAGAGCCGAGGAUCUCACUCUCCACUGAUCAUCUGCUCUUAUCACCACCCACAGACGAUAAGAGAUUACGAUCUCAGCAUCCAUACCGAAAGGUAGAAGUGGAGCUCGCUUGAGCUGGUUAGUUAGUUCUCGGUUAACUGUCAAGCAGGCAGAACGCAGGAAAGUUCGUGGAGUGCACGUAGACGUGAGAUAGCCUGACCGCUGUAGAACAAAAUUUCCAUUUUUUUAAUUCUGUGGCAAAAAGUGAAGUGGUGAAGUGGAAAGCUAAUUAAGCUUAUUGGGCUCAGAGCAAGCCGCAGAUGUUCACUACCUUUAUGCAUGCUGCUCUGUAGUGUUACAAUGGAGUAGAGGAGGAGGAUACAAUGAGAUCGGCCUUUCUAUCAUGACCAACUUGUGCGCCAGGCCGGGAAGGUGUCCUAGCACGAUCAUGGAUCGGUGUGCUAGCGUUGGAGUAGCUGGCACGUCGCUGGUGAAUUUGCUUCUGU